CCUUCCUGUCCGAGGGCUGAUCCCGCGUUAGUCCCACCCACUCCUUGUCCUGCGUGGUUACCCAGUUUUCUCAGCUGAGGUUCUGUUCUUGGUACCUCGCGGUGGGCUGGAGUUAACCUCGUGGGUCCUCCGACGCAUUGCCAGCUCACCAGCUCUGCCCAGGCCUACCACGCUGGACAUCCUUUCAGUCCUGAGUCGAUGGCGUCCUGCACGUCGGUCGUCCGAGGGCCCGCCCAAGCACGGGCGGGGGCCUAGGGGGCCUCUGGUGGCAAGUGCUUGGGCUGCGACGCCCGGCAGAUAGCAUCGCCCUCUGUUUUGGAGGGAAUGUAGCCACACUGAUAAACUCUAGGCCCUUGGAAAAAGGGAGUAAAAACAGCGACAGUUGGUACUUAUGGGACAUUCGGAGGAAAUGUGGCCUUGAAGCCGAAUGAUCUACUCUGCAUUAAAGGAAGAUUUCCAGCUCUUCUGUGCCCUGACAUCCCCUGCUGCUCUGAAGGAUGAUGAAGGAUCCUCCCUGAGGAUCAGGACCCUGAGGCUAAGGGGAGUGGCUCCUGAGAACCUGGACUCAGAGGAAGGGAACUUGUCACCCCUAUGGAGAGUCACCCCGCUGAGCCCGAAAUUCUACCAAAGAACAUUGAGGUGCCGUCAGAUACUGUUGUGGCUGUUCCUGGCUGAAGGAGAGAGAAGCCCUAGGUAUCUAUUUUGGUUCUGUGAAAGUCCUGAUCCUUGGAAAUAUAGCCUGCUCUCCUCCAAAGAACAUAGAUCUAGUGCUGCAAGGGAGCUCAGAAGUCACCUCGUCCAAAUUAACUCAUUUUACAGAUGACACAACUGAGGGCCGGGGAGGUUGGGUGACAUAUCUGAGGUCACUCAGCUAAUAUCAGAGGUGAGAUUUCAACCUUUGUCCUCUGACUGCAGUCAGUACCUUUUUAUCACACCAUAUAUCAACCUUAAUAAUUAUAACCUUGUUGAUGAUA
This 974-nucleotide long non-coding RNA is filed under the name Phascolarctos cinereus (koala). RNAcentral's name for it is "lncRNA (ENSPCIG00000019495.2)". The record is from RNAcentral. Lineage: Eukaryota; Metazoa; Chordata; Mammalia; Diprotodontia; Phascolarctidae.